CAUGCCCAAACAUGCAUUAAGGCUACGACGCAAGAAAUAAUUUAGCCUCCGCAAUGUGACAACUAUAAACCUAGUUAAGAGAUGCAGAACAGUGAGGCACAGGUAACCAGGCAUGGUUAUGAUUAAUGUACUUACAGUUGCAGUAUAAAUCGGAAGGCAUAAGAGCUUGGCCUCGCAUAAUUGUUUCGGCACGUAAAAUACCAGAAUCUGCUCUGGUUUCGUAUAGUACGUGCCCAAACUUGCAUCAAGGGUGCUAUGCAGAACAAUGAGACACAUGUAACCACGCAUGCUAAUAUGAUAAAGCUAUCUACCAUUUCAGUAUAAACGUGAAGGCAGAAGUGCUCUCAUAAUUGUUUCGGCACGUAAAACACCAGAAUCUGCUCUGGUUUCGUCCAGUACAUGCCCAAACAUGCAUUAA
Dermacentor silvarum is the source of this 418-nucleotide long non-coding RNA. RefSeq lists it as uncharacterized. NCBI's taxonomy places the organism in Eukaryota, Metazoa, Arthropoda, Arachnida, Ixodida, Ixodidae. The record is from RefSeq and is a predicted model, not a curated record. The transcript has 3 exons.